AAAGGUCUUCCUCUGUUCUUCAGUAAUGAACCUGGACCCUCAGAGUCAAAAGAGAAGAAGAGGAGUCAUGCUUCUGUGGAGGAGCCGAGUCCAUAUUCAGAAAAGACCUCGACUGCAGACGAGUCAGACCAGAACAAGACCUGGACCUCAGACAGCCCGUCAGACCAGCACUGUCAAACAGAUAGAGGUCUGCAGGAGGUUGUAGAUGAACAU
This is a long non-coding RNA of Sebastes umbrosus (honeycomb rockfish), 213 nucleotides long. RefSeq lists it as uncharacterized. The transcript has 3 exons. The record is from RefSeq and is a predicted model, not a curated record. NCBI's taxonomy places the organism in Eukaryota, Metazoa, Chordata, Actinopteri, Perciformes, Sebastidae.